This is a long non-coding RNA of Humulus lupulus (European hop), 572 nucleotides long. RefSeq lists it as uncharacterized. The transcript has 3 exons. Lineage: Eukaryota; Viridiplantae; Streptophyta; Magnoliopsida; Rosales; Cannabaceae. The record is from RefSeq and is a predicted model, not a curated record.
CCUUGGAGACCCAUUUGGGUGGCUGCCUAGACUUGGAGAGAAAUAGAGGGAGUAGGGCACAAAAAAGAGAAAGAAAGAGAGAAGAGGAAAGAGUUUCAAGGAUCUCUAGACAUGUGUUCUUAUUUUUUAUUUUGUUUUUUGGUUCUUGAUCCUUUAAGAUUAGAUAUCUCUUUCUCAAUUAUAAGAGGUUUGUGUCUCUUUUCUUUGGUGGUAUUUCAAAAUCCAGGUUCCUGGGGAUUGAUUUGCUUUGUGUUCUUGAAUACCACCAAGAGGCUCGCUGUGAAGUGUUCCCGCUCUUAUUUUGCUUGGACCUGAGGUAGACACUAGAUAGACUUGUUUGGCACACAUGGUGAGCUGAGUCAGUUUUCCAUAAGUAUGUAUGUAUGAUGCGGGGAGCUAAUGAACGAAAAAAGAUUCGAAACGCCAUAGUGCCUCAGAGUAUUUUGUUAUGUUAAUUUAACAGUGGGAUGUACUUAUUUCUUUUUAAGACUACAUCAAAUUCUCUUUUGUUUUGAAUAUUGGAUCCAAACUCUGCAUCUAUUUUAAAUAAAGAUCCACUGUAUUUUCACACA